CAGCAGGCGCGCAAAUUACCCACUCCCGGCACGGGGAGGUAGUGNCGAAAAAUAACGAUACGGGACUCAUCCGAGGCCCCGUAAUCGGAAUGGGUACACUUUAAACCCUUUAACGAGUAUCAAUUGGAGGGCAAGUCUGGUGCCAGCAGCCGCGGUAAUUCCAGCUCCAAUAGCGUAUAUUAAAGUUGUUGCGGUUAAAAAGCUCGUAGUUGGAUGUGUGUCCCACGCUGUCGGUUCACCGUUCGUCGGUGUUUAACUGGCAUGCCCGUGUGGACGUCCUGCCGGUGGAUGCGGUCGACCGUGGGCUUCGGCGCGCGUGUCGGCGGUCCGAUGCAAUCCUACCGCGGUGCUCUUCACCGAGUGUCGAGGUGGGCCGGCACGUUUACUUUGAACAAAUUAGAGUGCUCAAAGCAGGCAGUGGCUCGCCUGAAUAUUGUGUGCAUGGAAUAAUGGAAUAGGACCUCGGUUCUAUUUUGUUGGUUUUCGGAACAUGAGGUAAUGAUUAAUAGGGACAAAUGGGGGCAUUUGUAUUGCGACGUUAGAGGUGAAAUUCUUGGAUCGUCGCAAGACAAACCUAAGCGAAAGCAUUUGCCAUAAGUGUUUUCAUUAAUCAAGAACGAAAGUUAGAGGUUCGAAGGCGAUCAGAUACCGCCCUAGUUCUAACCAUAAACGAUGCCAGCUAGCGAUCCGCCGAAGUUCCUCCGAUGACUCGGCGGGCAGCUUCCGGGAAACCAAAGCUUUUGGGUUCCGGGGGAAGUAUGGUUGCAAAGCUGAAACUUAAAGGAAUUGACGGAAGGGCACCACCAGGAGUGGAGCCUGCGGCUUAAUUUGACUCAACACGGGAAACCUCACCAGGCCCGGACACCGGAAGGAUUGACAGAUUGAGAGCUCUUUCUUGAUUCGGUGGAUGGUGGUGCAUGGCCGUUCUUAGUUGGUGGAGCGAUUUGUCUGGUAAUC
This 957-nucleotide ribosomal RNA is filed under the name Acanthomenexenus polyacanthus. RNAcentral's name for it is "SSU rRNA". It matches the Rfam family "Eukaryotic small subunit ribosomal RNA", at positions 426 to 1324 of the family's 1831-position model. Lineage: Eukaryota; Metazoa; Arthropoda; Insecta; Phasmatodea; Lonchodidae. The record is from RNAcentral.